CGCAGCCCUCCGGGGCAUUGGAGACAGGUGGUGCAUGGCUGUCGUCAGCCCGUGUCGUGAGAUGUUGGGUUAAGUCCCGCAACGAGCGCAACCCUUAUCCUUAGUAGCCAGCAGGUAAAGCCGGGCACUCUAGGGAGACUGCCGGGGACAACCCGGAGGAAGGCAGGGAUGACGUCAAAUCAUCAUGCCCCUUAUGGCCGGGGCUACACACGUGCUACAAUGGCGCAGACAGAGGGAGGCGACCCUGUGAAGGCAAGCAAAUCCCGGAAAGAGCGCCCCAGUUCGGAUUGUAGUCUGCAACCCGACUACAUGAAGCCGGAAUCGCUAGUAAUCGCGGAUCAGAAUGCCGCGGUGAAUACGUUCCCGGGUCUUGUACACACCGCCCGUCACACCAUGGGAGCCGGGAAUGCCCGAAGUCGGUGACCCAACCGUAAGGAGGGAGCCGCCGAAGGCAGGCCUGGUAACUGGGGUGAAGUCGUAACAAGGUAGCCGUAUCGGAAG
RNAcentral lists this ribosomal RNA (501 nucleotides) under uncultured bacterium. RNAcentral describes it as "bacterial SSU rRNA". It matches the Rfam family "Bacterial small subunit ribosomal RNA", at positions 1011 to 1511 of the family's 1533-position model. The record is from RNAcentral.